Molecule: transfer RNA, 105 nt
Filed under: Sporisorium reilianum SRZ2
Lineage: Eukaryota; Fungi; Basidiomycota; Ustilaginomycetes; Ustilaginales; Ustilaginaceae
Description: tRNA-Leu for anticodon AAG
Rfam family: tRNA
About the family: Transfer RNA (tRNA) molecules are approximately 80 nucleotides in length. Their secondary structure includes four short double-helical elements and three loops (D, anti-codon, and T loops).
Source: RNAcentral
GGCAAGAUGGCCGAGUGGUCUAAGGCGUAGCAUUAAGGAAGAUAUUCCGAGUAUUCGGAAAGCCCCUGCUAUCUUCGGGCGUGGGUUCGAAUCCCACUCUUGUCA